UAGGGAAUCUUCCGCAAUGGGCGAAAGCCUGACGGAGCAACGCCGCGUGAGUGAUGAAGGUCUUCGGAUCGUAAAACUCUGUUAUUAGGGAAGAACAAAUGUGUAAGUAACUAUGCACGUCUUGACGGUACCUAAUCAGAAAGCCACGGCUAACUACGUGCCAGCAGCCGCGGUAAUACGUAGGUGGCAAGAGUUAUCCGGAAUUAUUGGGCGUAAAGCGUGCGUAGGCGGUUUUUUAAGUCUGAUGUGAAAGCCCACGGCUCAACCGGGGAGGGUCAUUGGAAACUGGAAAACUUGAGUGCAGAAGAGGAAAGUGGAAAUCCAUGUGUAGCGGUGAAAUGCGCAGAGAUAUGGAGGAACACCAGUGGCGAAGGCGACUUUCUGGUCUGUAACUGAUGCUAAUGUGCGAAAGCGUGGGGAUCAAACAGG
Molecule: ribosomal RNA, 429 nt
Filed under: Actinomycetes bacterium
Lineage: Bacteria; Bacillati; Actinomycetota; Actinomycetes
Description: Actinobacteria bacterium partial 16S ribosomal RNA
Rfam family: Bacterial small subunit ribosomal RNA
Source: RNAcentral